This 637-nucleotide long non-coding RNA is filed under the name Homo sapiens (human). RNAcentral describes it as "non-protein coding lnc-LRRC4-2:1". Lineage: Eukaryota; Metazoa; Chordata; Mammalia; Primates; Hominidae. The record is from RNAcentral.
CUAGAAAUGAGACCCCACGCCAGGCCUCAGACUUGGAAGAGGAGGACAGCUUGGGCCAGACCCCAGUGAGUGCCCAAGCCUUCUUGGAGGGACUUUUGGAGCUCCUAUUGCCUAGAGAGACAGUGGCUAGGGCACUGAGGCAUCUGGGGGCCCGAGGAGGAGGCAAAGGGAGCAGCAAGGGGCCUGGGUGACCCAGUUCCCCGCAGUGCCCGGACCGGCUCUCCGAAUUGGCCGACCAGAUGGUGGCCCAGGGAAACCUUGGCAUGUACCAGGAAACGAGGGAACAGUUGGCCAUGCGGCUGAAGGGUUUGGGGUGCCAGGCCCUAGGGACCCCACAAUCCCACACCCCCACACUCCCUAGACAUGUUCGCUGAGGAAGUGGCAGAGGGGGAACUGGAGACCCCAACCCCUACCCAGAGAGGAGAAGCAGAGUUGCCAGGAGAUGGUCUGGUGGAUGUGAUGUGGGAAUAUAAGUGGGAGAACCCGGGGGAUGCCGAGCUGCAUGGGCCCUUCACCAGCGACCAGAUGCAGACCUGGGUGAGCGAAGGCUACUUUCCUGAUGGUGUUUACUGCCGGAAGCUGGACCCCCUUCGUGGUCAGUUCUACAACUCCAAACGCAUUGACUUUGACCUCUACA